CCUACGGGUGGCAGCAGUGGGGAAUAUUGGACAAUGGGGGCAACCCUGAUCCAGCCAGGCCGCGGGUGUGAAGAAGGCCCUCGGGUUGUAAAGCACUUUCAGUGAGGAAGAACGCCUGGUGGUUAAUACCCAUCAGGAAAGACAUCACUCACAGAAGAAGCACCGGCUAACUCCGUGCCAGCAGCCGCGGUAAUACGGAGGGUGCGAGCGUUAAUCGGAAUUACUGGGCGUAAAGCGCGCGUAGGUGGCUUGAUAAGCCGGUUGUGAAAGCCCCGGGCUCAACCUGGGAACGGCAUCCGGAACUGUCCAGCUAGAGUGCAGGAGAGGAAGGUAGAAUUCCCGGUGUAGCGGUGAAAUGCGUAGAGAUCGGGAGGAAUACCAGUGGCGAAGGCGGCCUUCUGGACUGACACUGACACUGAGGUGCGAAAGCGUGGGUAGCAAACAGGAUUAGAUACCCCGGUAGUC
RNAcentral lists this ribosomal RNA (465 nucleotides) under Vreelandella stevensii. RNAcentral describes it as "partial 16S ribosomal RNA". It matches the Rfam family "Bacterial small subunit ribosomal RNA", at positions 338 to 795 of the family's 1533-position model. Lineage: Bacteria; Pseudomonadati; Pseudomonadota; Gammaproteobacteria; Oceanospirillales; Halomonadaceae. The record is from RNAcentral.